GUAGGGAAUCUUCCACAAUGGACGCAAGUCUGAUGGAGCAACGCCGCGUGAGUGAAGAAGGUUUUCGGAUCGUAAAGCUCUGUUGUUGGUGAAGAAGGAUAGAGGCAGUAACUGGUCUUUAUUUGACGGUAAUCAACCAGAAAGUCACGGCUAACUACGUGCCAGCAGCCGCGGUAAUACGUAGGUGGCAAGCGUUGUCCGGAUUUAUUGGGCGUAAAGCGAGCGCAGGCGGAAUGAUAAGUCUGAUGUGAAAGCCCACGGCUCAACCGUGGAACUGCAUCGGAAACUGUCAUUCUUGAGUGCAGAAGAGGAGAGUGGAACUCCAUGUGUAGCGGUGGAAUGCGUAGAUAUAUGGAAGAACACCAGUGGCGAAGGCGGCUCUCUGGUCUGCAACUGACGCUGAGGCUCGAAAGCAUGGGUAGCGAACAGGAUUAGAAACCCCAGUAGUCC
Molecule: ribosomal RNA, 450 nt
Filed under: uncultured bacterium
Lineage: Bacteria
Description: partial 16S ribosomal RNA
Rfam family: Bacterial small subunit ribosomal RNA
Source: RNAcentral